CCUACGGGAGGUAGCAGUGGGGAAUUUUCCGCAAUGGGCGAAAGCCUGACGGAGCAAUACCGCGUGAGGGAGGAAGGCUCUUGGGUUGUAAACCUCUUUUUUCAGGGAAGAUAAUGACGGUACCUGAGGAAUAAGCAUCGGCUAACUCCGUGCCAGCAGCCGCGGUAAUACGGAGGAUGCAAGCGUUAUCCGGAAUGAUUGGGCGUAAAGCGUCCGCAGGUGGUUUUAAAAGUCUGUUGUUAAAGCGUGAGGCUUAACCUCAUAAGGGCAAUGGAAACUGUAAGACUAGAGUACGUUCGGGGCAAGGGGAAUUCCCAGUGUAGCGGUGAAAUGCGUAGAGAUUGGGAAGAACACCGGUGGCGAAAGCGCCUUGCUAGGCCGUAACUGACACUGAGGGACGAAAGCUAGGGGAGCGAAUGGGAUUAGAUACCCCAGUAGUCCUAGCCGUAAACGAUGGAUACUAGGCGUUGUCUGUAUCGACCCGGACAGUGCCGUAGCUAACGCGUUAAGUAUCCCGCCUGGGGAGUACGCACGCAAGUGUGAAACUUAAAGGAAUUGACGGCUGAGCAGACACACAGGAGAG
Molecule: ribosomal RNA, 583 nt
Filed under: uncultured bacterium
Lineage: Bacteria
Description: bacterial SSU rRNA
Rfam family: Bacterial small subunit ribosomal RNA
Source: RNAcentral